This 88-nucleotide transfer RNA is filed under the name Armatimonadota bacterium. RNAcentral's name for it is "Armatimonadetes bacterium (activated sludge metagenome) tRNA-Ser". It matches the Rfam family "tRNA". Rfam says of the family: Transfer RNA (tRNA) molecules are approximately 80 nucleotides in length. The record is from RNAcentral. Lineage: Bacteria; Bacillati; Armatimonadota.
GGAGGGGUGGCCGAGCGGCUGAAGGCGGCGGUCUUGAAAACCGCAUCCCGGCAACGGGACGGGGGUUCGAAUCCCUCCCCCUCCGCCA